UACGGGAGGUAGCAGUGGGGAAUAUUGCACAAUGGGCGCAAGCCUGAUGCAGCCAUGCCGCGUGUAUGAAAAAGGCCUUCGGGUUGUAAAGUACUUUCAGUCGUGAGGAAGGUGUUAAGGUUAAUAACCUUAGCAAUUGACGUUAGCGACAGAAGAAGCACCGGCUAACUCCGUGCCAGCAGCCGCGGUAAUACGGAGGGUGCGAGCGUUAAUCGGAAUUACUGGGCGUAAAGGGCACGCAGGCGGUUAAUUAAGUUGGAUGUGAAAUCCCCGGGCUUAACCUGGGAAUGGCAUUCAAGACUGGUUAGCUAGAGUCUUGUAGAGGGGGGUAGAAUUCCAUGUGUAGCGGUGAAAUGCGUAGAGAUGUGGAGGAAUACCGGUGGCGAAGGCGGCCCCUGGACAAAGACUGACGCUCAUGUGCGAAAGCGUGGGGAGCGAAACAGGGAUUAGGAUACC
This 456-nucleotide ribosomal RNA is filed under the name uncultured bacterium. RNAcentral describes it as "bacterial SSU rRNA". It matches the Rfam family "Bacterial small subunit ribosomal RNA", at positions 340 to 786 of the family's 1533-position model. The record is from RNAcentral.